RNAcentral lists this ribosomal RNA (478 nucleotides) under uncultured bacterium. Its description in RNAcentral is "bacterial SSU rRNA". It matches the Rfam family "Bacterial small subunit ribosomal RNA", at positions 28 to 521 of the family's 1533-position model. The record is from RNAcentral.
GACGAACGCUGGCGGCGCGCCUAACACAUGCAAGUCGAACGAGAGAUGAGGAGCUUGCUCUUCAAAUCGAGUGGCGAACGGGUGAGUAACGCGUGGGUAACCUGCCCCAGACCGGGGGAUAACAGUCGGAAACGACUGCUAAUACCGCAUAAGCGCACAGUGCCGCAUGGCACAGUGUGAAAAACUCCGGUGGUCUGGGAUGGACCCGCGUCCGAUUAGCUAGUUGGCAGGGCAACGGCCUACCAAGGCGACGAUCAGUAGCCGACCUGAGAGGGUGACCGGCCACAUUGGGACUGAGACACGGCCCAGACUCCUACGGGAGGCAGCAGUGGGGAAUAUUGCACAAUGGAGGAAACUACUGAUGCAGCGACGCCGCGUGAGCGAAGAAGUAUUUCGGUAUGUAAAGCUCUGUCAGCAGGGAAGAUAAUGACGGUACCUGACCAAGAAGCCCGGCUAACUACGUGCCAGCAGCCGCGGU